UGGGGAAUAUUGCACAAUGGGCGCAAGCCUGAUGCAGCCAUGCCGCGUGUAUGCAGAAGGCCUUCGGGUUGUAAAGUACUUUCAGUCGGGAGGAAGGUGGUAAGGUUAAUAACCUUAUCAAUUGACGUUACCGACAGAAGAAGCACCGGCUAACUCCGUGCCAGCAGCCGCGGUAAUACGGAGGGUGCAAGCGUUAAUCGGAAUUACUGGGCGUAAAGCGCACGCAGGCGGUUGAUUGAGUCAGAUGUGAAAUCCCCGGGCUUAACCCGGGAAUUGCAUCUGAUACUGGUCAGCUAGAGUCUUGUAGAGGGGGGUAGAAUUCCAUGUGUAGCGGUGAAAUGCGUAGAGAUGUGGAGGAAUACCGGUGGCGAAGGCGGCCCCCUGGACGAAGACUGACGCUCAGGUGCGAAAGCGUGGGGAGCAAACAGG
This 429-nucleotide ribosomal RNA is filed under the name Chloroflexota bacterium. RNAcentral describes it as "Chloroflexi bacterium partial 16S ribosomal RNA". It matches the Rfam family "Bacterial small subunit ribosomal RNA", at positions 355 to 776 of the family's 1533-position model. The record is from RNAcentral. Lineage: Bacteria; Bacillati; Chloroflexota.